AUACGUAGGGGGCGAGCGUUGUCCGGAAUUAUUGGGCGUAAAGGGUUCGCAGGCGGUCUUUUAAGUCAGAUGUGAAAUCUCACGGCUCAACCGUGAUAAGCAUUUGAAACUGGGAGACUUGAGUUAAGGAGAGGAAAGUGGAACUCCUAGUGUAGCGGUGAAAUGCGUAGAUAUUAGGAGGAAUACCAGUGGCGAAGGCGACUUUCUGGACUUAUACUGACGCUGAGGAACGAAAGCGUGGGGAGCAAACAGGAUUAGAUACCCUGGUAGUCCACGCCGUAAACGAUGAGUGCUAGGUGUUGGGGGUCAAACCUCGGUGCCGCAGCUAACGCAUUAAGCACUCCGCCUGGGGAGUACGUACGCAAGUAUGAA
Molecule: ribosomal RNA, 372 nt
Filed under: uncultured bacterium
Lineage: Bacteria
Description: bacterial SSU rRNA
Rfam family: Bacterial small subunit ribosomal RNA
Source: RNAcentral